RNAcentral lists this ribosomal RNA (562 nucleotides) under uncultured bacterium. RNAcentral describes it as "partial 16S ribosomal RNA". It matches the Rfam family "Bacterial small subunit ribosomal RNA", at positions 355 to 909 of the family's 1533-position model. The record is from RNAcentral.
UGGGGAAUUUUGGACAAUGGGGGAAACCCUGAUCCAGCCAUCCCGCGUGUGCGAUGAAGGCCUUCGGGUUGUAAAGCACUUUUGGCAGGAAAGAAACGUCGCGGGUUAAUACCCCGCGAAACUGACGGUACCUGCAGAAUAAGCACCGGCUAACUACGUGCCAGCAGCCGCGGUAAUACGUAGGGUGCAAGCGUUAAUCGGAAUUACUGGGCGUAAAGCGUGCGCAGGCGGUUCGGAAAGAAAGAUGUGAAAUCCCAGAGCUUAACUUUGGAACUGCAUUUUUAACUACCGGGCUAGAGUGUGUCAGAGGGAGGUGGAAUUCCGCGUGUAGCAGUGAAAUGCGUAGAUAUGCGGAGGAACACCGAUGGCGAAGGCAGCCUCCUGGGAUAACACUGACGCUCAUGCACGAAAGCGUGGGGAGCAAACAGGAUUAGAUACCCUGGUAGUCCACGCCCUAAACGAUGUCAACUAGCUGUUGGGGGCCUUCGGGCCUUGGUAGCGCAGCUAACGCGUGAAGUUGACCGCCUGGGGAGUACGGUCGCAAGAUUAAAACUCAAAUGAA